Molecule: unclassified non-coding RNA, 296 nt
Filed under: uncultured Capnodiales
Lineage: Eukaryota; Fungi; Ascomycota; Dothideomycetes; Capnodiales
Description: sequence contains ITS1
Rfam family: 5.8S ribosomal RNA (bases 1-105)
Source: RNAcentral
GAAAUGCGAUAAGUAAUGUGAAUUGCAGAAUUCAGUGAAUCAUCGAAUCUUUGAACGCACGUUGCGCCCCCUGGUAUUCCGGGGGGCAUGCCUGUUCGAGCGUCAUUUCACCACUCAAGCCUCGCUUGGUAUUGGGCAUCGCGGUCCGCCGCGUGCCUCAAAUCGACCGGCUGGGUCUUCUGUCCCCUAAGCGUUGUGGAAACUAUUCGCUAAAGGGUGUUCGGGAGGCUACGCCGUAAAACAACCCCAUUUCUAAGGUUGACCUCAACUCAGGUGUGAUUACCCGCUGAACUUAA